GCCUGGGUGGCUCAGUCGGUUAGGCAUCUGACUUCAGCUCAGGUCAUGAUCUCAUGGUUUGUGAGUUCAAGCCCCACCUGGGGCU
Transfer RNA from Felis catus (domestic cat), 85 nucleotides. It matches the Rfam family "tRNA". From Rfam's summary of the family: Transfer RNA (tRNA) molecules are approximately 80 nucleotides in length. Their secondary structure includes four short double-helical elements and three loops (D, anti-codon, and T loops). Further hydrogen bonds mediate the characteristic L-shaped molecular structure. tRNAs have two regions of fundamental functional importance: the anti-codon, which is responsible for specific mRNA codon recognition, and the 3' end, to which the tRNAs corresponding amino acid is attached (by aminoacyl-tRNA synthetases). tRNAs cope with the degeneracy of the genetic code in two manners: having more than one tRNA (with a specific anti-codon) for a particular amino acid; and 'wobble' base-pairing, i.e. permitting non-standard base-pairing at the 3rd anti-codon position. Lineage: Eukaryota; Metazoa; Chordata; Mammalia; Carnivora; Felidae. The record is from Rfam.